RNAcentral lists this long non-coding RNA (358 nucleotides) under Mytilus galloprovincialis (Mediterranean mussel). The record is from RNAcentral. Lineage: Eukaryota; Metazoa; Mollusca; Bivalvia; Mytilida; Mytilidae.
UUUUGCUUUUGCAUAUAAAUAUUGAUAAGUGCAUUUAACAAGCCUACUUUCCACAAAAAAAAUCAUUUCCUGAUCUAAUCGUCUGAAACAGGAACAACAAUUAAGUUUUGAUAGAGUUAACCUUCAAUCAUAGAAAACAACAUCAAUAAGUGUGUGUGACCUGUUUAAAACAAGAGGCUUCCAAAAGCCUGAAUCGCUCACCUGUAAUUUUUUGGCUUAAAUCUUUCAUCAAUGAUUAUUUUUGCUUUUCAAUAUAUAUUAAUAAGUGGAUGAAUAAUGCCAUUUAAAUAUAUUUAAAUAUUCAUUGUAUCUGUCAUGUAAUUUACCUUUAUGUUCCAUUUGUCAUUGGCGUAAAAGG